CCCGCACAAGCGGUGGAUGAUGUGGAUUAAUUCGAUGCAACGCGAAGAACCUUUGCCUACCCUUGACAUGUCCGGAACUUGCCAGAGAUGGCUUGGUGCCCGAAAGGGAAUCGGAACACAGGUGCUGCAUGGCUGUCGUCAGCUCGUGUCGUGAGAUGUUGGGUUAAGUCCCGCAACGAGCGCAACCCUUAUCAUUAGUUGCUACGCAAGGGCACUCUAAUGAGACUGCCGGUGACAAACCGGAGGAAGGUGGGGAUGACGUCAAGUCCUCAUGGCCCUUAUGGGUAGGGCUUCACACGUCAUACAAUGGUCGGUACAGAGGGUUGCCAAGCCGCGAGGCGGAGCCAAUCCCACAAAGCCGAUCGUAGUCCGGAUUGUUCUCUGCAACUCGAGAGCAUGAAGUCGGAAUCGCUAGUAAUCGCAGGUCAGCAUACUGCGGUGAAUACGUUCCCGGGUCUU
This 459-nucleotide ribosomal RNA is filed under the name uncultured Thiobacillus sp. RNAcentral's name for it is "bacterial SSU rRNA". It matches the Rfam family "Bacterial small subunit ribosomal RNA", at positions 920 to 1382 of the family's 1533-position model. The record is from RNAcentral. Lineage: Bacteria; Pseudomonadati; Pseudomonadota; Betaproteobacteria; Nitrosomonadales; Thiobacillaceae.